GCAGUCGAGCGGAUGANGAAGAAGCUUGCUUCUUCUGAUUUUAGCGNCNNNNNNGUGAGUAACACGUGGGCAACCUACCUUGUAGAUUGGGANAACUCCGGGAAACCGGGGCUAAUACCGAAUAAUCCAUUUUGCUUCAUGGCGAUAUGUUAAAAGGCGGCGAUCUCGCUGUCACUGCAAGAUGGGCCCGCGGCGCAUUAGCUAGUUGGUAAGGUAACGGCUUACCAAGGCGACGAUGCGUAGCCGACCUGAGAGGGUGAUCGGCCACACUGGGACUGAGACACGGCCCAGACUCCUACGGGAGGCAGCAGUAGGGAAUCUUCCACAAUGGACGAAAGUCUGAUGGAGCAACGCCGCGUGAGUGAAGAAGGUUUUCGGAUCGUAAAACUCUGUUGUAAGGGAAGAACACGUACGAGAGUAACUGCUCGUACCUUGACGGUACCUUAUUAGAAAGCCACGGCUAACUACGUGCCAGCAGCCGCGGUAAUACGUAGGUGGCAAGCGUUGUCCGGAAUUAUUGNGCGUAAAGCGCGCGCAGGCGGUCCUUUAAGUCUGAUGUGAAAGCCCACGGCUCAACCGUGNNGGGUCAUUGGAAACUGGGGGACUUGAGUACAGAAGANGAAAGCGGAAUUCCAAGUGUAGCGGUGAAAUGCGUAGAGAUUUGGNGGAACACCAGNGNCGAANGNGGCUUUCUGGUCUGUAACUGACGCU
RNAcentral lists this ribosomal RNA (711 nucleotides) under uncultured bacterium. RNAcentral's name for it is "partial 16S ribosomal RNA". It matches the Rfam family "Bacterial small subunit ribosomal RNA", at positions 57 to 747 of the family's 1533-position model. The record is from RNAcentral.